AACCUGGUUGAUCCUGCCAGUAGUCAUAUGCUUGUUUCAAAGAUUAAGCCAUGCAUGUCUAAGUACCUGCCGACCUAAGGUGAAACCGCGAAUGGCUCAUUAAAUCAGUCAUAAUUUACAGGAUGUUGUCAAAUCCUUACUCGGAUAACUGUGGUAAUUCUAGAGCUAAUACGUGCAAUUAGUCUCCGACCUCGACGUCAGCACGCUUCGGGCGUCUUGUCGCUUCGAGGGAAGGGCGCAUUUAUUAGACCAAAACCGGGUGGACAUACGCGCGUGCGGUUCGAUGGUGAAAGCGUGGGGUGUUACUACUCCUCCUUCAUUCAUCUCCGUUCGUCGUCCAUGCCUCUUCGGUAACUUGGUGACUCUGGAUAACUAUCGCCGAGCGCUGAGGUCUUCGCACCGGCGCCGUAUCCUCCGAGUGUCUGCCUUAUCAGCUCUCGAUUGUAGGAUAUUUGCCUACAAUGGCUGUAACGGGUAACGGGGAAUCAGGGUUCGAUUCCGGAGAGGGAGCCUGAGAAACGGCUACCACAUCUAAGGAAGGCAGCAGGCGCGCAAAUUACCCAAUCCCGGCUCGGGGAGGUAGUGACGAGAAAUAACGAUAUGGGGACUCUUCAGAGGCUUCAUAAUCGGAAUGAGUCCGGUGUAAACACGCGGACGAGGAUCCAUUGGAGGGCAAGUCUGGUGCCAGCAGCCGCGGUAAUUCCAGCUCCAAUAGCGUAUACUAAAGUUGCUGCGGUUAAAAAGCUCGUAGUUGGAUUUCUGAUGCGGGCCGGGAGCCCGUCCGUGAAGGCGCGCCCUCGUCUAUACGCGAGGCGUCCCGCUGGAGUUCUUCCUCAGUCCCCUCUGCGGUGGCCGAUGUUGAGUGUCUGAGCGCGUCGGUAGUGUCGCUGUUCGAAAUCAAACCUCUUGCGCCCCCGAGAUGGAGUUGUCGUUGGCGCUUCGUCCCCCGCGAGCCUUCUUCAAGGAUAUUGGCUGCUGUUACGGGCGGCGUUGUUCUCUUUUUCCUUCGUCGUUCGGUCUACGCGCGUCUUUCGCUCGUAGUGUUCGUAGUAGUAGUCGGCGUUGGAACGCGAGUGCGAUACUCCUCUCCCCGCGGAAGUCGGCCCCCUUCCUACCUUUCGUUCGUUCUUCGCGUAUGAACGUUCGCUUCCUUCGUGCAAAGACCGUUGCUUCGCUUACGCCGUCGGGCGAGUUGCUUUUUUUUAAAGCAGCCCGUACCGACGGGUCGGCGCUUCGGGUCGAGGGAAUGAUCGAACUUCGCGUUGGAACUUUUUAAAGGAGCGGAAGUCGUAGCGGGAUCGUUGUACUUUCGCGGGUGAUGGUAUCUUCAAAACACCGCGCCUCCGAAAAAGCGCCUCUUCUGCUGCUGCGCGCCUUCGGGUAUGAAAAAAGGGAGGCUGCUGCUAGCCGGCGCGAAGAGAGAGAAGUAAAGUUAAAACCCUAACCCGUAUCACGCGUUUAUAGUCGUUCCCGCUGUAGGGAGAGGGCUCGCGCUAUGGGGGUCGUCGUCGUCGCGCUCUCUAUUUUUUCUCGGUCGUACUGUUUGCUCUUUCCCAGUUUCCGCCGUCCUUCAGUUCUCCGCAUUCGGGUAGAUCCCGUCGUACGAGGGUUAGUAAGGUCGUCGGCUCCUCGGUGGCGUCCUGGCUGUAGCGCGAGUAAGCGCGUCGGGUGGUAUAUUCCCGGCUCCGCGUUACUUAAAGCCGUCGGCUGUCACGGGGUGCUCUUCACCGAGUGUCUCGCGAAGCCGGCAAGUUCACUUUGAAUAAAGUAGAGUGCUCAAAGCAGGCAAUGAGAAUUUUGAAUACGCCUAGAUGGUAGCGCAUUGAAUGAUGGAACAGGACCUCGGUUCUGCCUUUUUUCAGCCCGGUUUUUCGGAACCGAGGUAAUGAUUAACGGGGACAGACGGGGGCAUUAGUAUUGCGUGGCGAGAGGUGAAAUUCUUGGACCCUCGUAAGACUAACUACUGCGAAAGCAUUUGCCAAGAAUGUUUUCAUUAAUCAAGAACGAAAGUUAGAGGAUCGAAGGCGAUCAGAUACCGCCCUAGUUCUAACCGUAAACGAUACCAACCUGCAAUCCGUCGGCGUCAUUCCCACGACUCGGCGGGAAGUACCCGGGAAACCAGAGUCUUUGGGUUCCGGGGGAAGUAUGGUUGCAAAGCUGAAACUUAAAGGAAUUGACGGAAGGGCACCACAAGGAGUGGAGCCUGCGGCUUAAUUUGACUCAACACGGGCAAACUCACCAGGUCCGGACACCGGAAGGAUUGACAGAUUGAGAGCUCUUUCUCGAUUCGCGUGGAUGGUGGUGCAUGGCCGUUCCUAGUUGGUGAAGCGAUUUGUCUGGUUGAUUCCGAUAACGAACGAGACUCUUACCUACUAAUUAGUCGGCGGAUCGACUCCCGAGAGGGGUUUUCCAUCCGCGAGGUGUUCGGUCGGGGGCGGCCGAGUCUCUCUCUUUGCGUCGUUCCCAUCGUGUCCUCUUCGGGCUUCGCAUUCGCGUUGUCGGUGAGAGGCGGCGAUGCGUCUUCGGGCUCGGUCGGCGGCCGCUGCUGCACUCGUUGUAGUAGUGGUUCGUCUUUCGACUCGUCUGCGUUUACGUCGUUCUCCUCCGGCUCACGGUGCGUCGCUCGCUCUUGAGGCGCGUUUGGGGCCGAAACGGCGUUAUCGCGGAGUAGCUCUCGGUCCUCGUCCAGCUUCGUGCGGUGGAGCUCAGCGAGGGGUGUCCGUCGUGUAUAUCUUCUUAGAGGUAUCGGCAGUCUCUAGCUGCAAGAGAAAGAGCGAUAACAGGUCUGUGAUGCCCUUAGAUGUCCUGGGCCGCACGCGCGCUACAAUGUAGGGAUCAACGUGUUUUCUCCUCCGAAAGGAGCGGGUAAUCAGUUGAAACCCCUACCCGGUUGGGAUUGGGGAUUGAAAGUGUUUCCCAUGAACGAGGAAUUCCUUGUAAGCGCGAGUCAUUAGCUCGCGCUGAAUACGUCCCUGCCCUUUGUACACACCGCCCGUCGCUACUACCGAUGGAAUGAUUCAGUGAGGGCAUCGGACUGGCGCCUCCGGUAGCCGUCGAUCGUAUCAAACUUCGUCUGAGAAGGCGGGGGCGGUCUCCGGCACCCUAGGCUUGACGGAAAGAUGUCCGAACUGGAUUAUUUAGAGGAAGUAAAAGUCGUAACAAGGUUUCCGUAGGUGAACCUGCGGAAGGAUCA
Molecule: ribosomal RNA, 3193 nt
Filed under: Porcellio spinicornis
Lineage: Eukaryota; Metazoa; Arthropoda; Malacostraca; Isopoda; Porcellionidae
Description: small subunit ribosomal RNA
Rfam family: Eukaryotic small subunit ribosomal RNA
Source: RNAcentral